RNAcentral lists this ribosomal RNA (475 nucleotides) under Enterococcus faecium. Its description in RNAcentral is "bacterial SSU rRNA". It matches the Rfam family "Bacterial small subunit ribosomal RNA", at positions 922 to 1401 of the family's 1533-position model. Lineage: Bacteria; Bacillati; Bacillota; Bacilli; Lactobacillales; Enterococcaceae. The record is from RNAcentral.
GGGGCAACGGUGGAGCAUGUGGUUUAUUCGAGCAACGCGAAGAACCUUACCAGGUCUUGACAUCCUUUGACCACUCUAGAGAUAGAGCUUCCCCUUCGGGGGCAAAGUGACAGGUGGUGCAUGGUUGUCGUCAGCUCGUGUCGUGAGAUGUUGGGUUAAGUCCCGCAACGAGCGCAACCCUUAUUGUUAGUUGCCACCAUUCAGUUGGGCACUCUAGCAAGACUGCCGGUGACAAACCGGAGGAAGGUGGGGAUGACGUCAAAUCAUCAUGCCCCUUAUGACCUGGGCUACACACGUGCUACAAUGGGAAGUACAACGAGUUGCGAAGUCGCGAGGCUAAGCUAAUCUCUUAAAGCUUCUCUCAGUUCGGAUUGCAGGCUGCAACUCGCCUGCAUGAAGCCGGAAUCGCUAGUAAUCGCGGAUCAGCACGCCGCGGUGAAUACGUUCCCGGGCCUUGUACACACCGCCCGUAAAA